Molecule: ribosomal RNA, 253 nt
Filed under: uncultured bacterium
Lineage: Bacteria
Description: partial 16S ribosomal RNA
Rfam family: Bacterial small subunit ribosomal RNA
Source: RNAcentral
UACGAGGGGGGCGAGCGUUGUUCGGAAUUAUUGGGCGUAAAGGGUGCGUAGGCGGCCUGACAAGUCUGAUGUGAAAUCCCUGGGCUCAACCCAGGGCCUGCAUCGGAAACUGUCGGGCUUGAGUAUGGGAGAGGUGAGUGGAAUUUCCGGUGUAGCGGUGAAAUGCGUAGAUAUCGGAAGGAACACCUGUGGCGAAAGCGGCUCACUGGACCACAACUGACGCUGAGGCGCGAAAGCUAGGGGAGCAAACAGG